CGGAGACCCCCAAGUAGGGAAAUUGGGGCAAAACGCGGAGCGCUCCAGGCUCCUACGGGCUGUGCGGUGCCAGGGCUCGACUGCUGAGCGUCGUGGGCUCCGAGAGGGACGCGGGCGGAGGGCAAAGAGCGUCAGAUCAGGAUUGCUGAAGGAGAGCUGAGAAUGAAACCACCAUUUAUUCAGCACUCAGAAUGCUCCAGGCAGUGUAAUCUCAUUCCAUCUUCAUUCAUGACUCCAGACAGGUAUGGCCACCAGUGCUCCAGAUUUACAUUCUAUUUACCUCACAACCCCAGUGGAAAAAGAAUAUCUCUUUCCUGAUUGGUCCAGCAGAAAUCUUGGUAUUAACUCUGACUGCC
RNAcentral lists this long non-coding RNA (356 nucleotides) under Homo sapiens (human). The record is from RNAcentral. Lineage: Eukaryota; Metazoa; Chordata; Mammalia; Primates; Hominidae.